RNAcentral lists this transfer RNA (64 nucleotides) under Cucumis melo subsp. melo. RNAcentral describes it as "tRNA-Glu". The record is from RNAcentral. Lineage: Eukaryota; Viridiplantae; Streptophyta; Magnoliopsida; Cucurbitales; Cucurbitaceae.
CGUCCAGUGGUUAGGACAUCCUCUUUUCAUCUCGAAGACAGGGCUUCGAUUCCCGUAAGGGAUA